RNAcentral lists this ribosomal RNA (520 nucleotides) under uncultured Glomus. RNAcentral describes it as "SSU rRNA". It matches the Rfam family "Eukaryotic small subunit ribosomal RNA", at positions 569 to 1090 of the family's 1831-position model. Lineage: Eukaryota; Fungi; Glomeromycota; Glomeromycetes; Glomerales; Glomeraceae. The record is from RNAcentral.
AGCAGCCGCGGUAAUUCCAGCUCCAAUAGCGUAUAUUAAAGUUGUUGCAGUUAAAAAGCUCGUAGUUGAAUUUCGGGGUCAGUAAGUUGGUCGUGCCACCGGUAUGUACUGGCUUUACUGAUUCCUCCUUCUUGAAGAACUGUAAUGCCAUUAAUUUGGUGUUGCAGGGAAACAGAACUGUUACUUUGAAAAAAUUAGAGUGUUUAAAGCAGGCUAACGCUUGAAUACAUUAGCAUGGAAUAAUGAAAUAGGACGUUGAUUUCUAUUUUGUUGGUUUCUAGGGUCGACGUAAUGAUUAAUAGGGAUAGUUGGGGGCAUUAGUAUUCAAUUGUCAGAGGUGAAAUUCUUGGAUUUAUUGAAGACUAACUACUGCGAAAGCAUUUGCCAGGAUGUUUUCAUUAAUCAAGAACGAAAGUUAGGGAUCGAAGACGAUCAGACUACGUCGUAGUCUUAACAUAACUAUGCCGACGUAGGGAUCGGGAUGAUUAGUUAAUUUUUAAUGUACUNAUUCGGCUCCGUU